GGAAGGAGGGGGGAGGGGAGAAAACAAAAGUUAUAUUCAAUCCAUAUAAAGUGCAAAUAAACUUUAUAUGGAUUGAAUAUAACUUUAUACGGAUUUAAUAUUGACUUUAUUUGCACAUUAUAUGGAUUGAAUAUCACUUUUGUUUCCUUCACCCCCCCCCCCCCUUUCCUU
This 171-nucleotide microRNA precursor is filed under the name Pelobates cultripes (western spadefoot toad). The record is from RNAcentral. Lineage: Eukaryota; Metazoa; Chordata; Amphibia; Anura; Pelobatidae.